RNAcentral lists this long non-coding RNA (448 nucleotides) under Chloebia gouldiae (Gouldian finch). RNAcentral describes it as "Erythrura gouldiae (Gouldian finch) lncRNA (ENSEGOG00005002115.1)". The record is from RNAcentral. Lineage: Eukaryota; Metazoa; Chordata; Aves; Passeriformes; Passeridae.
GUUUGCUAACAUUUUUUCCCCCCUCCAAGUGAUUUUAUUUCAAAAUGCAGGCAAGAUAAUGUUGCUGUUUCUUGCUGCCCCACACAGGUGAGAUGGGACUGCCAAGAGUUUGGGAUCAGCAGCGUCAGCACUGGAAUAAGAAAGCAGCAUUCUGGAUGUAUUUUGGGAACCUUGCCACUCCUUGUCUCCCGCAUCAACUUGAAGAUCCCCUCUUGGAAAGGAGCCAUCUCUGCCUACUUUCCACCAACUUGGUGAGAGGGGACACAGGCCAGCAUGGGGUUCCUGCUGCCAGAAUGCCUCGUGCUUUCACCUUCUCCCUGGCUUAUGUCAGGCAAAGGACCACCCUCCCGAUGAACUGUUAUUCCUAUACCCCUCUCUUCCCCCUGGCUGCCCCAACAGCAGUCACCUCCUGCAUUUCAUUUUACCUGCUGAACAUACAGAAUGGGGA